This 250-nucleotide ribosomal RNA is filed under the name uncultured bacterium. RNAcentral describes it as "partial 16S ribosomal RNA". It matches the Rfam family "Bacterial small subunit ribosomal RNA", at positions 524 to 773 of the family's 1533-position model. The record is from RNAcentral.
UACGUAGGGGGCAAGCGUUAUCCGGAUUUACUGGGUGUAAAGGGAGUGUAGGUGGCAUGGCAAGUCAGAAGUGAAAGCCCGGGGCUCAACCCCGGGACUGCUUUUGAAACUGCCAAGCUAGAGUGCAGGAGAGGUAAGUGGAAUUCCUAGUGUAGCGGUGAAAUGCGUAGAUAUUAGGAGGAACACCAGUGGCGAAGGCGGCUUACUGGACUGUAACUGACACUGAGGCUCGAAAGCGUGGGGAGCAAAC